This 204-nucleotide long non-coding RNA is filed under the name Drosophila guanche. The record is from RNAcentral. Lineage: Eukaryota; Metazoa; Arthropoda; Insecta; Diptera; Drosophilidae.
AUACGUACAUAUAUAUGAAUGUACAUACACGUGGUGGAGGGAAGCAGCAGCAGCAGGCCGUAUAAAAAAUGUUGGGUUGUUACUUCUAUACAAACUUAUGUACAUAAGUAUGUAUGUGUAUGUACGUAUGCGCUCUAUACCCGCCCUAUAAAAGCAUAUCAUUAUAUGUACAUGCAUAUGUACAUAAAGAAACGCUGACAAAGC